AUGACACCACCUGUGAAGAAUAGGAACCCCAGAUCAAAUUCCUCACAUGGAUCAAAUUCCUCAAAAGGAUCAAAGUCCUCAUAUGAACAUCAUCGUGCUAACAACUCUGUUUCGCAGGGAAGAGCUAAGGGCUAUGAAUAUGAGCAUUAUUCUUCUAAUCAUUAUGUUCAUAAGUCCUCGAAGAAUUUCUCUGCUUAUUCAUAUGCUUACCCUAACUCCUCUUAUGUGAAGCGAAAUGGACUGGCUUCUAUGCCACCUUUCUCGUAUGGAGCUCGCAGAAUGAUGAACUCUUUGCCACCCCUUCAGAUGUGGGUGGUGAAGAAAAAGAACUAA
This 333-nucleotide ribosomal RNA is filed under the name Triticum aestivum (bread wheat). RNAcentral's name for it is "partial small subunit ribosomal RNA". Lineage: Eukaryota; Viridiplantae; Streptophyta; Magnoliopsida; Poales; Poaceae. The record is from RNAcentral.